CUUGGUCAUUUAGAGGAAGUAAAAGUCGUAACAAGGUUUCCGUAGGUGAACCUGCGGAAGGAUCAUUAGUGAAUUAAACAUGCUUGGUGUCUUCGCUUCGGCAAGGCCCUUGCUUAACUCACAUCCCAACACCUGUGAACUGUAAGGCGCAUGACUAGGUUCGCCCAAGUCAUCGUCUGCCCUUUUUAACAAACAAUUAAUGUAACAAACGUAGUCUUAUUAUAACCUAAUAAAACUUUCAACAACGGAUCUCUUGGCUCUCGCAUCGAUGAAGAACGCAGCGAAAUGCGAUAAGUAAUGUGAAUUGCAGAAUUCAGUGAAUCAUCGAAUCUUUGAACGCACCUUGCGCUCUUUGGUAUUCCGAAGAGCAUGCCUGUUUGAGUGUCAUGAAAAUAUCAACCUUGACUUGGGUUUUGUGCUCUAGUCUCGGCUUGGAAUUGGGUGCUUGCCGCUUUUACGAGCGGCUCACCUUAAAUGUAUUAGCUGGAUCUGUCUUUGAGACUUGGUUUGACUUGGCGUAAUAAGUAUUUCGCUAAGGACAUUCUUCGGAGUGGCCUCGUUUCUAGGACGCUUGUCCGCUUUCCAAUACAAGUUCCACCUUGUGGACAUGACUUCUUAUUAUCUGGCCUCAAAUCAGGUAGGACUACCCGCUGAACUUAAGCAUAUCAAUAAGCGGAGGAAAAGAAACUAACAAGGAUUCCCCUAGUAACGGCGAGUGAAGCGGGAAAAGCUCAAAUUUGAAAUCUGGCAGCCUCAGGUUGCCCGAGUUGUAAUCUAUAGAAACGUUUUCUGCGCCGGCCCAUGUACAAGUCCCUUGGAACAGGGCGUCAUAGAGGGUGAGAAUCCCGUCCUUGACACGGACCACCGGUGCUUUGUGAUACGUUUUCAACGAGUCGAGUUGUUUGGGAAU
Molecule: small RNA, 910 nt
Filed under: uncultured Cryptococcus
Lineage: Eukaryota; Fungi; Basidiomycota; Tremellomycetes
Description: eukaryotic LSU rRNA
Rfam family: Eukaryotic large subunit ribosomal RNA (bases 624-910)
Source: RNAcentral